Molecule: long non-coding RNA, 303 nt
Filed under: Neogobius melanostomus (round goby)
Lineage: Eukaryota; Metazoa; Chordata; Actinopteri; Gobiiformes; Gobiidae
Description: lncRNA (ENSNMLG00000011470.1)
Source: RNAcentral
GUGGAUGAUUAACCUGUAGCUUUGCCUCGUCAUAAAGAGUUACAGGAAAGAGCUGUUUGAAUCAGGGUCAAAGUGCGUCUAAAGGAGCGUCAGACGCAGCCGAGCAGAGACACUGAGACACUGAGUCUCUGAGUCUCUGCAGUUCGUCCAGUCUCAGGACGAGACUCAGAGGAAAUGGCAGAAGGAAAAGCAAAGCCUCCAGAGGGCAGCACUGAGCCACAGCUCUAUGGGACAGAAAGCAGCUCCACAGCCUCAGUGUCCGCUCUGUCCAUGAAGAGUGACAGGUCUAAACGUUUCCCUCUA